UACGACUACAUAUCAGGCAUAUCAAUAAGCGGAGGAAAAGAAACUAACAAGGAUUCCCUUAGUAACGGCGAGUGAAGCGGGAAGAGCUCAAAUUUGAAAUCUUCAAGGUUCUACCUUGACGAAUUGUAGUUUAAAGAAGUGUUUUCUGUUAGAUGAGUAGCAAAAGCUCCUUGGAAUGGGACAUCAUAGAGGGUGAGAAUCCCGUAUUUGGUUAUUCAUUCUAGCUUUGUGAUACACUUUCAAAGAGUCGGAUUGUUUGGGAAUGCAGUCCAAAAUGGGUGGUAAAUUUCAUCUAAAGCUAAAUAUUGGCGAGAGACCGAUAGCGAACAAGUACCGUGAGGGAAAGAUGAAAAGAACUUUGAAAAGAGAGUUAAACAGUACGUGAAAUUGUCAAAAGGGAAGCGUUUGACACCAGUGUUGUUUUUCCGAAAAUCAAUUACGAAUGGCUUGAUUUUGUGUUGUAUUGACCUUAUCAGCUUUCUGCACUUUUUUCGAGUCUUUCUUAAUGCACUUUUCGGUUAACAAGUCAACAUCAAUUUCUUUUGUUGUAAAAGAGUAUUCGGAAGGUGGCUUUCUUUUCGGAGAAAGUGUUUAUAGCCCUAUACUUCUACAAUCGGAGAGAUUGAGGUCUGCAGCGUAGAUCCUUCUGAGGUUAGAUACACUUGUGCUAAGUUGUAGCUUUUCAUAGACAACUUGUUGACUAUGUUUAGUCAUGCGGCUUACUCGCUGAUGCUAUUUUACCUACGCUUAGGAUGUUGAGUAGCGACAUACGCAC
RNAcentral lists this ribosomal RNA (775 nucleotides) under uncultured Neocallimastigales. RNAcentral describes it as "partial large subunit ribosomal RNA". It matches the Rfam family "Eukaryotic large subunit ribosomal RNA", at positions 24 to 649 of the family's 3401-position model. Lineage: Eukaryota; Fungi; Neocallimastigomycota; Neocallimastigomycetes; Neocallimastigales. The record is from RNAcentral.